RNAcentral lists this ribosomal RNA (220 nucleotides) under uncultured fungus. RNAcentral's name for it is "partial small subunit ribosomal RNA". It matches the Rfam family "Eukaryotic small subunit ribosomal RNA", at positions 644 to 864 of the family's 1831-position model. The record is from RNAcentral. Lineage: Eukaryota; Fungi.
GGUGUGGGUUUGGUUGUAGCUUCAAACGAAGUUAGUGAUUCUUACCUGCACCAUCUUGGAGGUAGUUGUGUUGUGUCAUUCAGUUGAUGGAGCAUGUCUUCUCCUCGUUUACUGUGAGCAAAAUAGAGUGUUCAAAGCAGGCUUAUGCCGUUGAAUACAUUAGCAUGGAAUAAUAGAAUAGGACUUUGGUUCUAUUUUGUUGGUUUCUAGGACUAGAGUA